This 1779-nucleotide long non-coding RNA is filed under the name Marmota monax (woodchuck). Lineage: Eukaryota; Metazoa; Chordata; Mammalia; Rodentia; Sciuridae. The record is from RNAcentral.
GCCUGGCCAGGGAAGGGAGCUUUGCUCUCCCCGCUGUCUGUGGACAGAGGACAAUCCCAGCUGGGGGCAGGUGGCCCCAGGUGCAGUCACGUAUGGCACAGCCGGUCCUCACACGUCCUGGGGUGGGACGUGCCAAGAGGUUUAGGAAGCAGUGGUGCCCAGGGCUUCACAGGCAGGUGAGUCACUGGGCCUGCACCGGGGACGGCGGGGUCAGACGCAGGCCGGGGCGUGUCUUGGCCGGAGCUAAGCACAGCUAUGAAUCAGGAGGAGGGACCACACUGGUCCCUCAAUGUGUGUGAAGUGCACACCCAGUGGGCAGGAUCCAGGGUCCUGUGUGCUGCCAGAGCGGGAAGCCCCCGGGGCCUGAGGAAUGCUGCCCACCAGCCCUGGCACAGCUGGGCCCCUCUGACCCCGCCCCUCUGUUCCAAAGCUAUUUCCCCUGACUCCCACCCUCCCCUGGAAACGGCCCCAGGACUGGGCGGGGGGUGGCAGCUCCCCCUCCCUCAGCUAAUGGCCACUGAGCCUCGCGAGCCUCGUGGAGCAGCGUCCUCCGGAUCGCGUUCCCAGACUGCAGGGACACAAGGUGGAAAAAAAAGUGGGGUCAGGAGUCAUGGCCAAUUUGGGGGAGACUGCUGGCCUUGAAGUCAGGGGUGCUGACCCUGUGGCCUCCAGUUGGUCCUGGGAGUAAAGGUGCCAGGGCUCUGCCGGCCACAUACUGGCCGCGUCCAUCAUGAUCUCAAAAGACACAGUCUCCAAGGUCAUAAUCCCGAGGGUUGAGAUCCUGAAAGCCCAAAUCCCCAAGUUGCGAUUCCCAUGGAACAAAAGGCCGAACUUGGGUUUGUCUUUCAGGAUCGUGGCUCAAACCCCGCAGCUGGAUCCAGCCAGGAAUGAAGGCCGCUUCCCUCAAGCAUGAGCUUUGUUGUAGAGCGGGCCUGGCAGGGCUGCCUGGUAGGGCCCGGAGCAGAGAGACAAGCAGGCCUGUCCCUUGUUGCACUUUCAAGUGACUUGUGACCUCCAGGGCAGCCUGUUUAGCUCCUGUACUGCAGCAGACCUAGACCCGCCCAAGCAGGCCUGCGGAAGACGAGUUAUUUAAUUGACAAAAUGUUUGUUUUUAUCCAGUAGAAAUGUCCUUGGGUCCCUUUUGAGACCAUUCCGUAAGCAUUCAGACCAUCCCGACUAAUCGUCAGGAAAGAGUGCCCCGCGGGGGUAUCAGAAAGAGAGUUAUCAGGAAAAAUUAAACAGUGACAGAGCAUUAGUAUCUGGAAGGAAGAGAGUCUUGUCACAUCAAGAGGCGGGCUCCCCAGGAUGAACCCAAACUAUGUAAAAUUUUAGAUGUCAUUAACAAAAACAGGGGGGCUGCCAAGCUGGGUGGUCAUGGUGGGCUCCUGAGGAUGGAUUCCCACCGCCCCUGCCUGUCCAGGAACCGUCUGAUGGCGACAUCACGCAGGUCUCCGGUUGGUUUAAAACAUCCCUUGUCAACAGUAUUGCAACUUAAAACCCUCUCCCCGCUCCCCACCAAUCAGAGAUGUUAAAUCGGGCAAGAGAUGUGCAUUCUGGAAUUACCUUCUGCCGGAUCUCCAAACCAUUUCAGGACGUCCUAAAGUCACGUCCCUCACCAGGCUUCCUGAGACCCGGAGCCAGUAGCGUCCACACUGCUGGGUUUCACAAACACUCCUCUCUUCCUUAGCAACCUCAAGAGCAAGAUGUCCUGUUACUAGUGCAAACCACUUUUUAUUUAUUCCAGUAUGGUGUUGAAUUAAUAAACUGGCCAAGACUUAG